Molecule: ribosomal RNA, 253 nt
Filed under: uncultured bacterium
Lineage: Bacteria
Description: partial 16S ribosomal RNA
Rfam family: Bacterial small subunit ribosomal RNA
Source: RNAcentral
UACGUAGGGUGCAAGCGUUAAUCGGAAUUACUGGGCGUAAAGCGUGCGCAGGCGGUUCUAUAAGACAGGUGUGAAAUCCCCGGGCUCAACCUGGGAACUGCACUUGUGACUGUAGAGCUAGAGUACGGUAGAGGGGGAUGGAAUUCCGCGUGUAGCAGUGAAAUGCGUAGAUAUGCGGAGGAACACCGAUGGCGAAGGCAAUCCCCUGGACCUGUACUGACGCUCAUGCACGAAAGCGUGGGGAGCAAACAGG